Long non-coding RNA from Xenia sp. Carnegie-2017, 634 nucleotides. RefSeq lists it as uncharacterized. Lineage: Eukaryota; Metazoa; Cnidaria; Anthozoa; Malacalcyonacea; Xeniidae. The transcript has 4 exons. The record is from RefSeq and is a predicted model, not a curated record.
UUAAAAAUUGCAUGCUUUCUGAUAUACGAAUCAACGCAUGCAUUUUCACAUUAUUGCAAACUCAUUUUAAAUACUAUAAAGGCGUUUAUUUUGUUGUUCUGUAAUAGUUGUUGUAUGUGAGUUGGUAGAAACUCAUUGAAGACUAUAAGUUUUGCAGGACGUUGAAAGUGGUCAAGUUGGUAUUCUCGAAGUUUCUUUGGAUGGAAUUACUGUUAAAUUUAAAGAUAAACAGAUCCACCUUCAUCUGAAUCGCAUCAAAACUGCUCCACUCAACGAGGAAUUCUUGUCAUUGAUGAAUUUGAUCCCAUAACCCAAGAAGAAAUUCAGCACAAAUUCAAAUCAACCAUGGCAAGCGAUGUCUGUUAUGCUGUUCUCUGUCUUUUCUCGUAUGCUGCCGCAUCGAGAGGUUUACAAGUUCGUUCAUGACCGGAAAAGUAUUCAUCAACUUACAUCUUCAUACCCAAUUCAACCCAAUCAUACGUAGCUAGUUAACAAAAAUGAACAUAUAUAUAAUGUAGAUAAUGUAAGCUAUCUAGAUUUUAUUGUUCUUAGUAGUUAUUGUUUGUGAAAUGUCCACGUGUUUCGAGCAUGUAUACGUCAAUACAAAUCACGUGAUGGCUUCUCUUGUGUCAAA